Non-coding RNA from Biomphalaria pfeifferi, 234 nucleotides. NCBI's taxonomy places the organism in Eukaryota, Metazoa, Mollusca, Gastropoda, Planorbidae. The record is from the annotation of a GenBank genome assembly.
GGGGGGGGGGGGUGAUGCUAUCCAGAUUAAAGGACCUUCCAGUCCCAUCAUAGACAAUGGCUUAGUAAUUAAGUCGGUGAUGCACGGCACUAAUCCGUUUACAUCAAAACAAUCUAACAACAAUCAAUCCUAAUUAAAAUAUAUCAAGUAAAAAUAAAACAAUUUCUCAACUUACAGGCAGUCCACACAGAGAACGUCCACACAGGAACAACACUAAAAAUAACUUUCUAACUC